Molecule: unclassified non-coding RNA, 274 nt
Filed under: uncultured fungus
Lineage: Eukaryota; Fungi
Description: partial contains small subunit ribosomal RNA, internal transcribed spacer 1, and 5.8S ribosomal RNA
Rfam family: Eukaryotic small subunit ribosomal RNA (bases 1-73)
Source: RNAcentral
UCAAACUUGGUCAUUUAGAGGAAGUAAAAGUCGUAACAAGGUCUCCGUUGGUGAACCAGCGGAGGGAUCAUUACCGAGUCUAAACAACUCAUCAACCCUGUGAACAUACCUAAAACGUUGCUUCGGCGGGAACAGACGGCCCUGUAACACGGGCCGCCCCCGCCAGAGGACCCCCUAACUCUGUUUGUAUUAUGUUUUUUCUGAGUAAACAAGCAAAUAAAUUAAAACUUUCAACAACGGAUCUCUUGGCUCUGGCAUCGAUGAAGAACGCAGC